This 28-nucleotide non-coding RNA is filed under the name Cricetulus griseus (Chinese hamster). The record is from RNAcentral. Lineage: Eukaryota; Metazoa; Chordata; Mammalia; Rodentia; Cricetidae.
UGCGAGUGUUUGUGGAGUCUGUGCUCAG